CAUUAGGGGCUCAGCGCGUCCCUCCAGGCCACGCCGUCAGGCCUCCGUCCUUUUAGCUGUAGGGGCAGAUUACGUAACUCCAGCCUUCUGGUCACUAAAGGAGGGUAACAAAGGGCGGUCGAGAGACUCCACUGAGUUGACACGCAGACGCAGCCUCAGGACCCUAAACUCUACGCCCCAGCACACCCUACCAAGCGAGCGCCCGCGGCCGCGUGACGUCAUCUACCCCAAACGCUGUGGCCCCGGCCACGCACGGCUUCGGGGCGGGACUACGCGGUGACGUCGAGGUGCGCGGCGCAGCGCGCGGCGUCAGUCUUGGCUGGCAGACCUGUACUCCGUACUCCGUACUUCGUAGUCGCAGCGGCGCGGUCUUCGGCAGUCUAGUCAUCCACCGCCAUCCUGGGCCCCACGUGUUGCCUGACCAUUCCUGAGCCCAGGUGGGAGCCGUGGCUGAGGUGACGGUCUCAAAGUGGAAGAGCUUACUGUCACAGCAACUCCUUUGCAAGAUGCCCCGGUAAAUCACGUUGCAGAGACCCCAACUCUGCCUUCCUGGAACUAGGCCUGCGUUUUCUCUGAACCAUUAUUUCAUGGGGAAAAUGAAAUCUACUUCAUGUGCCUGGUCUACUUACUCCUUCAGAAGUGAUUUCUGAGCCGUAAGAUACAUGAGAAAAAAAUGAAGGGGAAAAGGCAGUAUUUAUAUUAACUACAUGAUGAUAAGGAUGUUUCUGGUCACAGUGAAAAGCCAUGCUAGAAUUGUAGUGUCAUAGAAUAAUGUGGAAGUUUAGUUCGUGUUGUCUGAUCUAUUUAAUAAUUUAAUAAGGUUAUCUCUUCCAAGACACCUUCCCUUCUUCCUCAGCCAGAAAGGAUCUUUCCCUGAGAGUCAUUAGUAGCUCUGGGCUCCUGGAACCAAGCUCAGGUGCCUAAUUGAACUCUGGUCUCUUCCCACAGCCCCCAGCAGGGACUGGUGCUUAGUGAGAGUGGACUGCCAGAUUCCUUGAGUGUGGGGGAUUUGGGUGAAUGAGGGUAGCAAGCCUCCAGCGUGCUUGGGUCUGCGGUGACCCUAUGCAUUCCUU
This 1073-nucleotide long non-coding RNA is filed under the name Homo sapiens (human). Its description in RNAcentral is "non-protein coding SNHG15:2". The record is from RNAcentral. Lineage: Eukaryota; Metazoa; Chordata; Mammalia; Primates; Hominidae.